RNAcentral lists this signal recognition particle RNA (298 nucleotides) under Jaculus jaculus (lesser Egyptian jerboa). Its description in RNAcentral is "Metazoan signal recognition particle RNA (ENSJJAG00000006404.1)". It matches the Rfam family "Metazoan signal recognition particle RNA". Rfam says of the family: The signal recognition particle (SRP) is a universally conserved ribonucleoprotein. It is involved in the co-translational targeting of proteins to membranes. The record is from RNAcentral. Lineage: Eukaryota; Metazoa; Chordata; Mammalia; Rodentia; Dipodidae.
GCCGGGCCCAGUGACAUGUGCUUAAAAUCCCAGCUACUUGGGAGGCUGAGUCAGGAGGAUUGCUUGAGUCCAGGAGUUCUGCGCUGCAGUGAGCUAUGCCAAUCGGGUGUCCACCCUAAGUCCAGCAUCACUAUAGUGACCUCCCGGGAGCGGGGUACCACCAGGUUGCCUAAGGAGUGAUGAACCGGCCCACAUAGAAAUGGAGCAGGCCAAAACUCCCAUGCUGAUCAGUAGUGGGAUCACGCCUGUGAAUAGCCACUGCCCUACAGCCUGGGCAAUAUAGCAAGACUUCAUCUCU